Molecule: long non-coding RNA, 2139 nt
Filed under: Vigna radiata
Lineage: Eukaryota; Viridiplantae; Streptophyta; Magnoliopsida; Fabales; Fabaceae
Description: long non-coding RNA (VRAD_LNC004104)
Source: RNAcentral
AAAGGAAAAUGAGGGGUCACAAAACAACUACAUUUUGACUAGUAAUUGCUGCUACUUUUGAUGAUGGAUAAUAUAAGGGGGUAUAUCAUGUGUGUCUGUGUUUGCCCUUCUUUCAAGGGAAAAUGGUUUGCAUCUUGACUUGUGAAAAUGGUUUCUUUAAUAUGGAUCCUUUUUAUCUUUUUUUCUCCAUUCAACCUAAAGUUUUUUAUAUUCUACAUGUGAUCUCCAUCCCCUUAAUUCCAAUUCUUCUUGCAUUGAGAGAAUCUCUCACUUUCUCUCUCCAUGCCUUUCUUUUCUUUAUUUGGGAAUCUCAUUUAUCACCUCCACAAUACAAGCAUAUAAAACUAAUCUUUGAACAUGUCAAGCCUCUAUCUCUCACUUUCUCUCUGUCAGUCAGUUUUUGUGUGUGUGUGAGGGAGAGAGAAGAAAAAACAAAGGUUGAUAAUUAAUGAGGGAGGAUCUUCUGCAUGACAAAGUGGAACUGAAAGAACACUUUCUUUUUCUUUUGCUUUUGUAUUGGGUUUUCUAACUUUUUCUCUUACACAUUUUUCUUAUUUUGAUCUUUUUGAUACAAACUUUAACUUUCAAUAAAAUCUUUUCAUUACAUGAUGAAGAAUUGGAUUACUUACUAACUGGUACAUGUUUGUUAUGACUCAUAAAGUAAAAGGGUAUGUAUCAAACUUGAGGACAUGGUGUUUGCUGAAAUGCCUGUGUGAGUUGAGCUAUCACUAUAUCUUGUAUUGGAAACAUACCUUACUUGUGCCCAGGAUUCUUGAAAGACGGUAGCUUUAUUAUCUAUCUAUGGCCACCAAAAAAUUUUGACCGUUAGGUUGGAAAGAGUGAAUUUCAGAGAAAUUGCAUUGUGUGGACCCCUUUUAGCCAAAGUUGGAGUACGUAUUCUUUUCCUAUCUUUACUUACAAUAUAGUACACAGUUUUUUAAUAAUCCUUUCAUUUAGACACUGCAUGCCUGUUUCUAAUUUCUGUCGAGUUCUGAAUAGUAGCAGUAAUUUGAUAAAAAACAAAAACUUAACCCCUCAGUCCCAAUAGAAGUAUAUUUAUUAUAUUAAUUGUAAAAAUAUCAAACAUGUGAGAUUUUAUUCAUAUUUAAGUAUAUGAUAUCCUCCACUUCUAUCUCUAGCACUUCCCUUUUCAGAGCAGCAUGUAACUUCACUAUCAGAAUUCAAUUCCCGUGAAAUGAAAAACUACCAAAAUUGAAUAAUGGGGAUGUGUCAAUGAAAGUGAAAGUGAGAGAUUUUGGGAAAUGAGACUUAGACAUGGUCAAUGUGAAUACAUUCAUACAUGUAUAUAAAUAUAGUUGGCCAAAUCUCUUCCCUGAUGAAACUGUACAAUACAUUUCCCAACACAUGAUCUAAUUUUCUUGUUGUAUUUAUUUAUUUAUUUUUUGUCAGGCUUCAUAAUUCCAUGUGCAUUAAUGUGAUUCUCCUUGACACAAUAGGACAGGUCAUUUCACAUUUAUAUUUAAGCUCUCACACAUUGUAUUCAAGAAAAUGUGCUUAUUCUAGAGGAACCACAUUUGGUGCUGAGUGUUAUGAAUUUGCAGUUGCAAUUAGGGGAAAGAGGGGGUUGUCAAUGUUAUUUCUUGACCCAUCUUUAAGAGUGAGGAUUCCCUACAUUUAUUGUCUUAAAUUGCUUUUAGGUUUUCAGUGGGAAAACUCACCCUUUAAUAACACUGAUCAUUGCAUAACUCAAAAAUGAUUUGGAUGGGUGAAGAGGAUCAAUGGUGCAACCAUGUGAGAAGAAAUAAAAGUUUCAACCAACAUAUUGGUGUUAGCAUGGUAGGUAAGACUUGAUCAGACAUUUGAUAUAGAAAGUUGAAUUUAGAUUCGCCAGCCAAGUUCUUGUGCAAAUUGAUUAAAUACCUACAAUAACUAGAAUUCAUAUUUAGGUGGGGUUGUUAAUGUUUUUAUUAAUAUUAUUUAUUGAUUCAAAAACUGCUGUUUUAUUUUCACAAUAUAUAAAUAGAAAGCCAUAUUAAAAUUUGCAGAAAAAUGUCAAAAUUAACAUUUAAUUUUAAUUUAAAUACUUUUGUAAUUCCAUCUUCAAAAAGUCUUAACGUGAAAAAAUAAACCAUAUCCAUAUAUUCGGCUUAAGCAAAUCCUUUACUGGUGUAGAUACAG